RNAcentral lists this ribosomal RNA (229 nucleotides) under uncultured bacterium. RNAcentral's name for it is "partial 16S ribosomal RNA". It matches the Rfam family "Bacterial small subunit ribosomal RNA", at positions 88 to 334 of the family's 1533-position model. The record is from RNAcentral.
UACAUCACCGGCGGACGGGUGCGUAACACGUGGGAAUAUACCUUUUGGUUCGGAACAACGCAGGGAAACUUGCGCUAAUACCGAAUGUGCCCUUACGGGGAAAGAUUUAUCGCCCAGGGAUGAGCCCGCGUAGGAUUAGCUAGUUGGUGUAGUAAAGGUGCACCAAGGCGACGAUCCUUAGCUGGUCUGAGAGGAUGAUCAGCCACACUGGGACUGAGACACGGCCCAG